UACGGAGGGUGCAAGCGUUAUCCGGAUUCACUGGGUUUAAAGGGUGCGUAGGUGGGUCUGUAAGUCAGCGGUGAAAUCUCCGGGCUUAACCCGGAAACUGCCAUUGAUACUAUAGGUCUUGAAUUAUCUGGAGGUAAGCGGAAUAUGUCAUGUAGCGGUGAAAUGCUUAGAUAUGACAUGGAACACCAAUUGCGAAGGCAGCUUACUACGGAUACAUUGACACUGAGGCACGAAAGCGUGGGGAUCAAACAGG
Molecule: ribosomal RNA, 253 nt
Filed under: uncultured bacterium
Lineage: Bacteria
Description: partial 16S ribosomal RNA
Rfam family: Bacterial small subunit ribosomal RNA
Source: RNAcentral